Molecule: ribosomal RNA, 430 nt
Filed under: Acidobacteriota bacterium
Lineage: Bacteria; Pseudomonadati; Acidobacteriota
Description: Acidobacteria bacterium partial 16S ribosomal RNA
Rfam family: Bacterial small subunit ribosomal RNA
Source: RNAcentral
UGGGGAAUAUUGGACAAUGGGCGAAAGCCUGAUCCAGCCAUGCCGCGUGUGUGAGGAAGGCCUUUUGGUUGUAAAGCACUUUAAGCGAGGAGGAGGCUACUUGGAUUAAUACUCUAGGAUAGUGGACGUUACUCGCAGAAUAAGCACCGGCUAACUCUGUGCCAGCAGCCGCGGUAAUACAGAGGGUGCGAGCGUUAAUCGGAUUUACUGGGCGUAAAGCGUGCGUAGGCGGCUUCUUAAGUCGGAUGUGAAAUCCCUGAGCUUAACUUAGGAAUUGCAUUCGAUACUGGGAAGCUAGAGUAUGGGAGAGGAUGGUAGAAUUCCAGGUGUAGCGGUGAAAUGCGUAGAGAUCGGGAGGAAUACCGAUGGCGAAGGCAGCCAUCUGGCCUAAUACUGACGCUGAGGUACGAAAGCAUGGGGAGCAAACAGG